UUAGGGAUAGUGAGAAAACUAUUGCAAACAAGGAAGAGAAGUACCAUUUAUACUGUGUCAACUGAUGGAUUCUCUCUUCGGAAAUCUGGAGUGUUAAGCAUAGGCGGAUUGAGUUUGAAAUGGUCAAGGUCCCUUGAGAAACAUUCUCAAAAGGUUAAUGAGGUACUGAAUUCAACUCUUCCUGAUCGUUCAUAUUCAAUAAUCUAUGUGAAUUGGGUGUAGUAAGGAAAUCAUCAUAGCAUUUUAUUCAGAUGCAGACCCCAAUAGAAAUCUGUGAGAAUAGAUUCACUGAAUAUAACUGGACCUUCCUUUUUUGCUCUAGAAGCUUCUAACGGAAUAGUCUGAUCGCAAAUGUAACUGAUUAUCCUUAAAUGAUUCCCUGGUUUCAAGAGUUGACAUUAUUAGACUAUCAGGAGAAUCAUCAGAACAGCUACACGGUUAGCUUGUCUCCUGGUUUCAUUUGUCAAACUUAUAUAGAAUUGGUAGAAUUGCGUAAUUUAUAUGCUUUUCAACAACGAGGACAUUAUUCAACAACUAGGUCCUGCUACGUUGCACUAGUUUUGCUUGUCUACCAUAUAUGGUUUGAUCGUCUAUUGCAACUGUCUUGCGAUGGUUGUAUUAUAUUCAUGAUACGUAACUAUAUAAUUCUGUUCAAUGCAACUGGUCCUUUCAUAUAAAUUAUGCUUCUCUGCCUUGAAAUUUAAUGAGAUUCAUGGUUGAUUAGUAAUUACUUUUGAUCAAUAUCCUUUCCAUGUUGGAAUACUUUACUUUGAACUACCUUUCUUAAAGUUGUCAGUAUCUGCCUCAUCUCAUAUCUGUUCGUUAAUUUGCUCACUAUAUUUGUGCUGUUUUCACUGAUGGUUCAUGAUUCCCUUUUUUUUUCCAGAUCAAUACCCUGCAAUUGUUGCUGCCAAUCAAUUAAGAAAUAGUAGCAACAGAGCAUCUUCAGAUUCCAGGGUGCCAUCAACUUGCAAUGAAUAUGUGCGUGUUAACAAAGGUAACCAACUGGUCAGAAAUCCAAAGAAAGUAAUCC
Molecule: long non-coding RNA, 1033 nt
Organism: Setaria italica (foxtail millet)
Lineage: Eukaryota; Viridiplantae; Streptophyta; Magnoliopsida; Poales; Poaceae
Exons: 3
Source: RefSeq, a predicted model, not a curated record